GACGAACGCUGGCGGCGUGCUUAACACAUGCAAGUCGAACGGAAAGGCCCUGCUUUUGUGGGGUGCUCGAGUGGCGAACGGGUGAGUAACACGUGAGUAACCUGCCCUUGACUUUGGGAUAACUUCAGGAAACUGGGGCUAAUACCGGAUAGGAGCUCCUGCUGCAUGGUGGGGGUUGGAAAGUUUCGGCGGGUGGGGAUGGACUCGCGGCUUAUCAGCUUGUUGGUGGGGUAGUGGCUUACCAAGGCUUUGACGGGUAGCCGGCCUGAGAGGGUGACCGGCCACAUUGGGACUGAGAUACGGCCCAGACUCCUACGGGAGGCAGCAGGGGGGAAUAUUGCACAAGGGGCGGAAGCCUGAUGCAGCAACGCCGCGUGCGGGAUGACGGCCUUCGGGUUGUAAACCGCUUUCGCCUGUGACGAAGCGUGAGUGACGGUAAUGGAUAAAGAAGCACCGGCUAACUACGUG
This 468-nucleotide ribosomal RNA is filed under the name uncultured bacterium. Its description in RNAcentral is "partial 16S ribosomal RNA". It matches the Rfam family "Bacterial small subunit ribosomal RNA", at positions 28 to 507 of the family's 1533-position model. The record is from RNAcentral.